Molecule: ribosomal RNA, 491 nt
Filed under: uncultured bacterium
Lineage: Bacteria
Description: partial 16S ribosomal RNA
Rfam family: Bacterial small subunit ribosomal RNA
Source: RNAcentral
AGUGAACGCUGGCGGUAGGCCUAACACAUGCAAGUCGAACGACAGCACAGUAAGCGCUUGCUCUUACGGGUGGCGAGUGACGGACGGGUGAGGAAUACAUCGGAAUCUACUUUUUCGUGGGGGAUAACGUAGGGCCACUUCCGCUAAUACCGCAUACGACCUACGGGAGAAUUCAGGGGAUCUUCGGGGCUUGUGCGAUUGAAUGAGCCGAUGCCGGAUUAGAUAGUUGGCGGGGUAAAGUCCCACCAAAGCGACGAUCCGUAGCGGAUCUGAGAGGAGGAUCAGCCACACUGGAAUUGAGCCACGGUCCAGAUCCUAACGGGAGGCAGCAUUGGGGAAUAUCGGACAAGGGGCGCAAGCCUGAUCCAGCCAUACCGCGGAGGUGUAGAAGGCCUCCGGGUUGUAAAGCCUUUUUGUUGGGAAAGAAAAGCAUCAGGUUAACACCCCGCUUUUCGGCCGUUACCCAAAGAAUAAGCACCGGCUAACUUCGG